RNAcentral lists this ribosomal RNA (315 nucleotides) under Triticum aestivum (bread wheat). Its description in RNAcentral is "partial small subunit ribosomal RNA". Lineage: Eukaryota; Viridiplantae; Streptophyta; Magnoliopsida; Poales; Poaceae. The record is from RNAcentral.
AUGGGCAAGCACACGAUUCGCAUGCUUGCACUAGCAGCCCUAGUGUCUCUACAUCUCGUAUGCUCUGCCAGUGUUGCUCAAUGUCGAACCAUGAAUGGCAUGGAUAGCAAGAAGAUCAAUAUACCAUAUGGGCUAUGCGUUCAUAUAGCAGAUACCAAACUAUGCGGGAGCAAUGGGUGCUUCCAUUGUUUGACAAAUGACCUCCUCUACCCCACUAUGGAAAGGUGCAUGAGAGCGUGUAAGACACCCUCAUCUUUACAAGACAUGCUAGUGGCCAUGAGGACGUCCCCUCCUCGUCCUUUACCUACUCCUUAA